RNAcentral lists this transfer RNA (69 nucleotides) under Empria sp. RNAcentral describes it as "tRNA-Val". The record is from RNAcentral. Lineage: Eukaryota; Metazoa; Arthropoda; Insecta; Hymenoptera; Tenthredinidae.
CAAAUUAAAUUUUUAAAAAAUUUAAUUUAUUUACAAUAAAUUAGAAGUUGUUGAUUCAACUUAAUUUGA